GAUGAAUGCUGGCGGCGUGCCUAACACAUGCAAGUCGAGCGGCAGCGCGAGUAGUUUACUACUUGGCGGCGAGCGGCGGACGGCUGAGUAACGCAUGGGAACGUGCCCCAAAGUGAGGAAUAACUGCCCGAAAGGGUGGCUAAUACCGCAUAUGACCUUCGGAUUAAAGUCUUCGGACGCUUUGGGAGCGGCCCGCGUCGGAUUAGGUUGUUGGUGAGGUAAUGGCUCACCAAGCCGACGGUCCGUAGCUGGUCUGAGAGGAUGAUCAGCCAGACUGGGACUGAGACACGGCCCAGACUCCUACGGGAGGCAGCAGUGAGGAAUCUUCCACAAUGGGCGAAAGCCUGAUGGAGCAACGCCGCGUGCAGGAUGAAGGCCUUCGGGUCGUAAACUGCUUUUAUGAGUGAAGAAUAUGACGGUAACUCAUGAAUAAGCACCGGCUAACUACGUGCCAGCAGCCGCAGUAA
This 467-nucleotide ribosomal RNA is filed under the name uncultured bacterium. RNAcentral's name for it is "partial 16S ribosomal RNA". It matches the Rfam family "Bacterial small subunit ribosomal RNA", at positions 28 to 523 of the family's 1533-position model. The record is from RNAcentral.